AGCUCAAGUGAUCCUUCCGCCUCGGCCUCCCAAAGCGCUGGGACCGCAGGCCUGGGCCGCCACGCCCGGCCUUCCCUGGCCUCUUCCACACCUGAGUUGUGGCUCAUGAGUCACCUUGUGACCUCCUCUCCCCGGACAGUGUUUUAGGGUUACCGGUCUUGUUGCGGUGUCUAUGCCCCUGUGCAGCGCUGUGGGAGCAGGGCUGUGUCUGGGUUACCCCAGCAUCCCCAGGGCCCAGCCCAGUGACCACACCUGGAAGCGCUGGUGUCUAAAUGUGCAGAUAAAUAAAACACAGCCACCCAGCAUCACCGCUGUGGAGUGACAGUCCCCGCCAGGUUACUUCAGGGCGGACGUCCGUGGCCUGAACCCCAAAGGCCAGGCGGUGAGUCCAGGCCACGGUGCCCAGCGAGGAGCAGUUGUCCCCGAAAACCCAAACACCCCAGAGGGGAUGUGAGAACCGCCGCAGAGAGCAGGCCCAUCACACAGACGGGCGCCGAGGCAGGAAAUUAGCUCAAAUGCAGCUUAGGGAAGGAAGCACGCCCAUCUCUACUGCUGUCCUGCUGCCCACGAGUGCCCCAUACGUGAGUUCCGAUAAACUCGCCGACUCACCAAGCUGGACUCCGCCCAGUCGUUCUUUGGUCUCUCGGCAACUCCUACUUUGGGGUAAGGUUUUAAAUGUGAUUCUCGGUUUUUCUCAUUACAAGUGGUCAUCAGGAAAACACAAACCAAAACCACAGUGAGCUCCCACUGCACCCCACCAGCAUGGCUAGACUCACAGACAAACAUAAGUCGGAGAGGCGUGUGGGGAUUGUGGCCCCGCACGCGGCUGGUGGGGCUGUGAAAGGCUGCAGGGCUGGGGAAAAGGUGGGUGGGUCCUCAAAAGUGAAGCAGUUUCCACAGGGCCCAGCCGCCUCACUCCAGGCAUAUACGGAGAGAAACGACUCACAAAUGCACCCGUUCUACUGCAGCGUCGGUAAUGCUCAAAAGGCGGAAACCACCCAAAUGUCCACCCCCCAGUAAGUGAGUAACAAGAUGCAGGUGAUAGAAUAUUCCUCAGCCACACAAAGGAGUGAGGCGAUGACGCACGCUAUGAAGCCGGUGGGCCUUGGGGACAACGCUGGGUGGCAGAGGCCAGGCGUGAAGACCCUGCGUGGUAAGUGCAUGUGCUGGUGAGUUGACUGCUGUUGGUGAGGCUACAAGGACGCGGGAGAGACUUAGGAGGUCCGGGUUUCUUUGUAGGGGGACAAAAAUGUUCUACAAUUAGAUCGUAAGAACGUUGCACAACCCUGUGAAUAUACUCAAAACUGUUCAAUUAGGCCCUUUAAAUGGGUGGAUUUUGUGGUAUGUGAAUUAUAUUUCAAUGAAGCUGUUAAAAUAAUUUUUUAAAAGCAUGACCGUUUUGCCACUUUUUGUGUCCUUUUAGCACCCUCCUCUUUUUUCUGUCUCCGAGAGAGGCUGAGAUACAAAUGCAGUUGUAGGGGCCAGUGUGGACGGUUGAGAAAGACAUGGUGUGGUGGAAAGUGGCUGCUGUGCUGCGGCUCCCGGCCCUCCCCCCGGACCAUUCAGGCCUAAGGAAUCCUGCGGGCGGCUUCUGGCUUCUCAGGGAAGCCAGCGUGGGUGGGUGCUGAGGAGGAGGAGGGGCCAGAAGAUGCCACAGUGCAGGGUGGACGGCCUGCACCCAGGAAAGCCUGCCUGGCAUGGGGGGCAAGGAGUACAAGCCGGUGGUGUUUCCAUCAGAAACACACCUGUGUCAAGAACCAGGUCACUCAAGCUAACUCAAGGGAAAAACAGGAAAUGACUCCUGUGGAGAGGAGGCAGACACAGCGGGCUCUUCAGAGGGUGCUCAUCUCUGGAGGCGGGAGGAGCUGGGCAUGGUGCCCCACGGCAGGGCCACAACAAGGUUCCUCAUCAGCCCACAGGCAACUUUCCUAACCACAAACAACUAAACGAGCAGGGAGCCAGUCAGACUGCCCUCCUUCCUCCCUUCCAGAAAGUUCUAGAACGCCCACCCUUCUCUUACUCUGCAGGCACUGAGCUCGAGGUGAGGCCGGAAGCUUUACUCCCCAGACAGCCCAGCAUCAAGCUCAUGGCUUCAGGGGACGGCUCUCUCGUGGUGGGGGCAGGCGCAGACCCAAGGGCUUUCAGCGUCUCCAAGGCGGGGCUGCUGCUCCUCCCUUAUUCAGGCAGAGCAAGGGCCACAGAGCUCUCGACAGCACUGAGCUCACCAGUGAUAAAGCACUUCGGACAUCCGUGAAGGCAGACUGGCGUUGGGACUGUGGAGAGCUUGUGGGCACCCCAUGGAGCCGGUUAUCUUCAGAUGUUGACUGGCUGACCCUGGGUGCAGGUUCAAGCUGGGCACCCUGUCCUCACGGGCUGUGCUUUCCUAACCAGACAGCUGAACGAGCUGGGAGCCCCACCGGCCCACAAGAGCCUGGAACUGGCUGUGCAGAAGAUCUGACCUGGGAACGCCUCUCUCCUCUCCAGCCGGCAUCGGCCAGUCCCUCCAGCCCAGGCUGCUAUUUCAGAAGCUGGAGACCAACCCUAACAAUAAGGUGGCCAGGCCAGUGAGACAGCUCCCAUCUGCAGCUGGAGGCACUGAAGCCAGCGGACCACGCCUGCUCUGCUCAAACUCUGCAAUGCCGAUGUGGACUGCGGGUCUUCAAAGUGGUCUCCUCUGCCUUAGGAACACAGCAAGAAAAUGACGUGCAUUCUUGAUUUCACAGCUACUGGAGGAGUCAUCGGCCAGAUCGGCCGAGCAGUUGUUUCUUUUUGACCCGAUAAAAUUAUUUUUAGAAUAGCUCUGUUUUCCUGCUCAUGUUUGGCUUAGGAUAAAUAUAGAAAUUGUGCCUUCCUCAGCGUAUGCCGCCUGGGUGGCACAUGAACUGACAAAAGAGAAACUGCUGAGCACUAGCCCAGGGUGAAUAAUUGACCACGGGAAUCUAAAUAUUAAAGAAUAUUAAUGUGUAUUCUGAAGUUAUAGAAAUUAGCCAGUGUUUCCCUGGUGUGAGGACAGACAAUUGGGAAGAAAACAGUCUGGGUAAGACUGAAAUAGCUGAUUACGAGAGCAAAGAUGCAGACCACAAGAGCAGAAUGUAGAUAUGAAACAAAGCUUUAAAUUAGAAAACCAGUUUUAUUUUGGGUAGUUGAAAACAUCCCAGUUCAACCAAGUGUAGGAUGCAGCUGUCUUUUAUGAAGCAUGAGUGCCCAUGGAGGUGCCCAGAUGCCCCUCGAAUCCAGUGUGAAUGGCCUUGUUACUAAGGCCUUAAAUCUAAGAUGCUGCUGAUUUUAGGGUGCACUGUUAUUACCAAGAAAGGGAGAAAUGCUGCCAAUUAAACUGUUCAGUUUUUUUUUUUGUACUCAUUAAAAGAGCUCUUUUAUAGUUAUUGAUGCUGGUUGAUGGAUACAUGCA
This is a long non-coding RNA of Cercocebus atys (sooty mangabey), 3409 nucleotides long. RefSeq lists it as uncharacterized. The record is from RefSeq and is a predicted model, not a curated record. Lineage: Eukaryota; Metazoa; Chordata; Mammalia; Primates; Cercopithecidae. The transcript is spliced from 2 exons.